This 421-nucleotide ribosomal RNA is filed under the name uncultured archaeon. Its description in RNAcentral is "bacterial SSU rRNA". It matches the Rfam family "Archaeal small subunit ribosomal RNA", at positions 89 to 511 of the family's 1478-position model. The record is from RNAcentral.
CUCAGUAACACGUGGAUAACCUGCCCUUAGGACUGGCAUAACCCCGGGAAACUGGGGAUAAUUCCGGAUAGUUCAUGGUAGCUGGAAUGCUCCAUGAUCGAAAGCUAUUGCGCCUAAGGAUGGGUCUGCGGUCUAUCAGGUAGUAGUGGGUGUAAUGUACCUACUAGCCGACGACGGAUACGGGUUGUGGGAGCAAGAGCCCGGAGAUGGAUUCUGAGACAUGAAUCCAGGCCCUACGGGGCGCAGCAGGCGCGAAAACUUUACAAUGCGGGAAACCGCGAUAAGGGGACACCGAGUGCCAGCAUCUUAUGUUGGCUGUCCGCAUGUAUAAAUCACAUGUGUUAGCAAGGGCCGGGCAAGACCGGUGCCAGCCGCCGCGGUAACACCGGCGACCCGAGUGGUGGCCACUAUUAUUGGGUCU